RNAcentral lists this ribosomal RNA (467 nucleotides) under uncultured bacterium. RNAcentral's name for it is "partial 16S ribosomal RNA". It matches the Rfam family "Bacterial small subunit ribosomal RNA", at positions 28 to 507 of the family's 1533-position model. The record is from RNAcentral.
GAUGAACGCUGGCGGCGUGCUUAACACAUGCAAGUCGAACGGAAAGGCCCAAGCUUGCUUGGGUACUCGAGUGGCGAACGGGUGAGUAACACGUGGGUGAUCUGCCCUGCACUUCGGGAUAAGCCUGGGAAACUGGGUCUAAUACCGGAUAGGACCACUUCUUGGAUGUUGUGGUGGAAAGUUUUUUCGGUGUGGGAUGAGCUCGCGGCCUAUCAGCUUGUUGGUGGGGUAAUGGCCUACCAAGGCGUCGACGGGUAGCCGGCCUGAGAGGGUGUACGGCCACAUUGGGACUGAGAAACGGCCCAGACUCCUACGGGAGGCAGCAGUGGGGAAUAUUGCACAAUGGGGGCAAGCCUGAUGCAGCGACGCCGCGUGGGGGAUGACGGCCUUCGGGUUGUAAACUCCUUUCGCUAGGGACGAAGCGUUUUGUGACGGUACCUGGAGAAAAAGCACCGGCUAACUACGUG